This 1412-nucleotide ribosomal RNA is filed under the name uncultured bacterium. RNAcentral's name for it is "partial 16S ribosomal RNA". It matches the Rfam family "Bacterial small subunit ribosomal RNA". The record is from RNAcentral.
AGAGUUUGAUCCUGGCUCAGAACGAACGCUGGCGGCGUGCCUAACACAUGCAAGUCGAACGGAUUUGAGGGGCUUGCUCCUCAAGUUAGUGGCGCACGGGUGAGUAACGCGUAGAUAAUCUGCCUGAUGAUUCGGGAUAACACUUCGAAAGGGGUGCUAAUACCGGAUAAGCCCACGUGGUCUUUGGAUCGUGCGGGAAAAGGGGGGGACCUUCGGGCCUUCUGUCAUCAGAUGAGUCUGCGUACCAUUAGCUAGUUGGUAGGGUAAUGGCCUACCAAGGCUACGAUGGUUAGCUGGUUUGAGAGAAUGAUCAGCCACACUGGAACUGAGACACGGUCCAGACUCCUACGGGAGGCAGCAGUGGGGAAUUUUGCGCAAUGGGCGAAAGCCUGACGCAGCAACGCCGCGUGAGUGAUGAAGGCUUUCGGGUCGUAAAGCUCUGUCGAGGGGAAAGAAGUGUACGGGGGCUAAUAUCCUCUGUACUUGACGGUACCCCUAAAGGAAGCACCGGCCAACUCUGUGCCAGCAGCCGCGGUAAUACAGAGGUGGCGAGCGUUGUUCGGAUUUACUGGGCGUAAAGGGUGCGUAGGUGGUCGCCUAUGUCGGAUGUGAAAGCCCACGGCUUAACCGUGGAAGGUCAUUCGAAACUGGGCGACCUGAGUGCAGGAGGGAGAGCGGAAUUCUUGGUGUAGCGGUGAAAUGCGUUGAUAUCAAGAAGAACACCGGUGGCGAAGGCGGCUCUCUGGAAUGCAACUGACACUGAGGCACGAAAGCUGGGGGAGCAAACAGGAUUAGAUACCCUGGUAGUCCCAGCUGUAAACGGUGCGCACUUGGUGUGGGAGGAAUUGACCCCUCCCGUGCCGGAGCUAACGCGUUAAGUGCGCCGCCUGGGGAGUACGGUCGCAAGACUAAAACUCAAAGAAAUUGACGGGGGCCCGCACAAGCGGAGGAGCAUGUGGCUCAAUUCGAUGCAACGCGAAGAACCUUACCAGGACUUGACAUGCAGCUGCACGUCCCGUGAAAGCGGGAUUCCUUCGAGGGUGCUGCACAGGUGCUGCAUGGCUGUCGUCAGUUCGUGCCGUGAGGUGUUGGGUUAAGUCCCGCAACGAACGCAACCCCUGUGUUUAGUUGCCACCAGGUAAUGCUGGGCACUCUAAACAGACUGCCUGUACAAAGCAGGAGGAAGGUGGGGACGACGUCAAGUCAGUAUGGCCCUUACGUCCUGGGCUGCACACGUGCUACAAUGGCCGGCACAGAGGGACGCAAUACCGCGAGGUGGAGCAAAUCCUCAAAACCGGCCCCAGUUCGGAUUGAAGGCUGAAACUCGCCUUCAUGAAGCCGGAUUCGCUAGUAAUGGCGCAUCAGCUACGGCGCCGUGAAUACGUUCCCGGGCCUUGCACACACCGCCCGUC